CCUACGGGAGGCCGCAGUGGGGGAUAUUGCACAAUGGGCGCAAGCCUGAUGCAGCCAUGCCGCGUGUGUGAAGAAGGCCUUCGGGUUGUAAAGCACUUUCAGCGGGGAGGAAGGCGUUAAGGUUAAUAAUCUUGUCGAUUGACGUUACCCGCAGAAGAAGCACCGGCUAACUCCGUGCCAGCAGCCGCGGUAAUACGGAGGGUGCAAGCGUUAAUCGGAAUUACUGGGCGUAAAGCGCACGCAGGCGGUCUGUCAAGUCGGAUGUGAAAUCCCCGGGCUCAACCUGGGAACUGCAUUCGAAACUGGCAGGCUAGAGUCUUGGAGAGGGGGGUAGAAUUCCAGGUGUAGCGGUGAAAUGCGUAGAGAUCUGGAGGAAUACCGGUGGCGAAGGCGGCCCCCUGGACAAAGACUGACGCUCAGGUGCGAAAGCGUGGGGAGCAAACAGGAUUAGAUACCCUUGUAGUC
This 465-nucleotide ribosomal RNA is filed under the name uncultured Klebsiella sp. RNAcentral describes it as "bacterial SSU rRNA". It matches the Rfam family "Bacterial small subunit ribosomal RNA", at positions 338 to 795 of the family's 1533-position model. The record is from RNAcentral. Lineage: Bacteria; Pseudomonadati; Pseudomonadota; Gammaproteobacteria; Enterobacterales; Enterobacteriaceae.